This 429-nucleotide ribosomal RNA is filed under the name uncultured bacterium. Its description in RNAcentral is "bacterial SSU rRNA". It matches the Rfam family "Bacterial small subunit ribosomal RNA", at positions 355 to 776 of the family's 1533-position model. The record is from RNAcentral.
UGGGGAAUAUUGCACAAUGGGGGAAACCCUGAUGCAGCAAUGCCGCGUGUGUGAAGAAGGCUUUAGGGUUGUAAAGCACUUUCAAUAGAGAAGAAAAGCUUAGGGUUAAUACCCCUAAGUAUUGACGUAACCUAUAGAAGAAGCACCGGCUAAAUCCGUGCCAGCAGCCGCGGUAAUACGGAUGGUGCGAGCGUUAAUCGGAAUUACUGGGCGUAAAGAGCACGUAGGCUGUUUUAUAAGUCGGAUGUGAAAUCCCCGGGCUUAACCUGGGAACUGCAUCCGAAACUAUUUAACUAGAGUAUGGGAGAGGUAAGUAGAAUUUCCGGUGUAGCGGUGAAAUGCGUAGAUAUCGGAAGGAAUACCAGUGGCGAAGGCGGCUUACUGGACCAAUACUGACGCUGAGGUGCGAAAGCGUGGGGAGCGAACAGG